CUGGUUGAUCCUGCCUGAACUGAUGCGCUAAGCUCAAAGAUUAAGCCAUGCAUGUGUAAGUAGAAACGACCUAGUCGUGAAACCGCGAACGGCUCAUUACAACAGCCAUAAUCUACUUGAUCUUGACACAGUUACACGGAUAACUGGGGUAAUUCUCGAGCUAAUACGUGCGCAAAAGCCCCGACCUCAGGGGAGGGGUGCAUUUAUUCGCAGAAAACCGGCACGCUGCUUCGGUGGCGUUGGUGGUGAGACGGGAUAACUCAGCUGAUCGCAUGCCGCAAGGCUGCGACGUGUCUUUCGAGUGUCUGCCCUAUCAACCUUUGUAGGUAGUGUACCGGACUACCUUGGUGGUGACGGGUAACGGAGGAUUAGGGUUCGACUCCGGAGAAGGGGCCUGAGAAAUGGCCACUACGUCUAAGGAUGGCAGCAGGCGCGCAAAUUACCCACUCUCGGUUCGAGGAGGUAGUGACGAGAAAUAACGGGACUUCCGCUUCGUGCGGCUAGUCACUGGAAUGGGUGGAACUUAAACCCGUCCACGAGUAUCAAGCAGAGGGCAAGUCUGGU
RNAcentral lists this ribosomal RNA (564 nucleotides) under uncultured eukaryote. Its description in RNAcentral is "bacterial SSU rRNA". It matches the Rfam family "Eukaryotic small subunit ribosomal RNA", at positions 4 to 565 of the family's 1831-position model. The record is from RNAcentral.